This 460-nucleotide ribosomal RNA is filed under the name uncultured bacterium. Its description in RNAcentral is "partial 16S ribosomal RNA". It matches the Rfam family "Bacterial small subunit ribosomal RNA", at positions 338 to 795 of the family's 1533-position model. The record is from RNAcentral.
CCUACGGGAGGCUGCAGUGAGGAAUAUUGGUCAAUGGACGAGAGUCUGAACCAGCCAAGUAGCGUGAAGGAUGACUGCCCUAUGGGUUGUAAACUUCUUUUAUCAAGGAAUAAAACGAGGCACGUGUGCCUUUUUGCAUGUACUUUAUGAAUAAGGAUCGGCUAACUCCGUGCCAGCAGCCGCGGUAAUACGGAGGAUCCGAGCGUUAUCCGGAUUUAUUGGGUUUAAAGGGAGCGUAGAUGGGUUGUUAAGUCAGUUGUGAAAGUUUGCGGCUCAAACGUAAAAUUGCAAUUGAUACUGGAAGUCUUGAGUACAGUUGAGGUAUGCGGAAUUCGUGGUGUAGCGGUGAAAUGCUUAGAGAUCACGAAGAACCCCGAUUGCGAAGGCAGCUUACUAAACUGUGACUGACAUUGAUGCUCGAAAGUGUGGGUAUCAAACAGGAUUAGAUACCCCAGUAGUC